Molecule: long non-coding RNA, 2836 nt
Organism: Brassica napus (rape)
Lineage: Eukaryota; Viridiplantae; Streptophyta; Magnoliopsida; Brassicales; Brassicaceae
Exons: 2
Source: RefSeq, a predicted model, not a curated record
AGGAAAUCUAGCGCUUUGAAUUACGGAUCAGGAUUAUAAUAAUUGAAUAAAAAAUAAAUUUAAAAUAUAUAUAAUAAAAAUACCAAAUAUAUGUGAUGAUUUGACAUAAUUAAUCAACUUACAUCACGAAAACUAUCAAAUUGUUAUAUUUAAAGUAAUUAUAUAUAAACAUUUAAAUAUAUGAGUAACUUUAAAAAUAUAUUAUAAUUAUGUAAAAUAUAUAUAAACAUGAAAAUUAGUAUCCGCACGGUUGUGCGGGUCCAAAUCUAGUCAAAUCUUAAAGCAUAACAAUUAAAUGUGGUUUUAAUGUGACAAACCGACAAUGUGAAAUUUAAAAGGAGUUUCAGAACUAAUAAAGAAAAAGAACGGAGAACAUCUAGAGUAUGAAAUUAAAAACAACUUGUGGCUGAGACAAGUAAAAAGCUUAAUCUAUUUUAUCAUUUGAUUUAUACUCUCAAAAUCUACAACAAAAAAUAAAAUAAAAAGUGAUGGUUAAGUACCAAAGGUAAUAUCAUAAAAUUUUAGAAAAAUUGAAUAAAUUGUUGUGUGUACUAAUAUAUAUAUCAUAUGACAUAUAUAUGAUACAUAUGUCUUCGGUUAAAUUCGGAUCCAUGUUCUGUUUGUGAAUUUACCCACACCUAACCGAAAGUUAUUGAAUAUAUGACAAAUGUAGAGUGUUGAAAUAUUUCUAUUGAUCGGUCAUGUCAUAUAGGUCUGAGCUCUGCCGAGCUUAACCAUGCCCGGGGAACGCUUUUUGAUGACCUGAUCAAUUCGAUUAGGCACUCGUCAUCUAUUUUCAUAGUUUAACUCUUUGACAUUACGAAAAAAUCAUUGUUCAAUUUGGGAAGGAAAGAUUAGGAAAAUCCUAUUGAUUGCAUCUUUCUCCAAGGAUCCGAAACCGAACUCGAAGUUCAUUGUAAUAUGAAACUGGCCCAUUCAGGUAUUUUAAAGUUCGUUGACCAUUUUAUAUCUUAGAAGACUGUGAUUCUUCCGCACGCCCACAAAGUUUCUAUUCCCCACAAUUCUCAGACUUUUGAUUCCUUGACUCUGAAACAAAUUUUGAUUUUUUUUUGUUUCAUUAACCAUUUUACCCAUUUUGAAAGAAUUCUUUCAAAAUGAAUUGUAGAUGGAAAAUAUUUUGAAAUAAUAAAAAAUAUCUUCAAAACACAACAUAAUAGGAACUUUUAUAAAAUAAUUCAAAGCACAUGGGCACGUCUCAUUUUCUAAAGAAUAUUAACAGAGUAUAUAAAAACUAAUACUCCCUCUGUUUCAUAUUAAGUGUUGUUGUAGAAAAAAAUUUCGUUGCAAAUAAGUAUUUUUUAGCAUUUUAAUACAAAAUUUAUUUUUAUUUUUCAGUUUAUUUUUCUAUUGGUUGAAAUAUGGUUAGGUGUAUGGAUAAUGAUGUUUUUAUAUAGAAAAUAUGUAAAAUUAAAUGUUUUCUUAGUAUGUUUGCACAAAUUUAAAAUGUCACUUAGUAUGAAACAAAAGGAGUAGUUUUUAUUUUGAACUAUAGUGUUUUGCUUUCAAUAAUUUUUCUUUAAAAAAACUACUAAUAAUUUUGUGUAUAAACAUGAUUUAUUUUGAAAUUUGAACAAUAGUGUUUUGCAAUAGAAUUGAGGAAUUCCAUUUACCAAGAUUCUCUUAAUUUGCUCAAAUGUUUAGCUAGGAAGCCUAGUCGAUCUAUGUUACGUAAUUUAAUAUAUGAAAAAUUAAAAUAUUAAAAUACGUUAUUAAUUUAUCGAUAUUGAUGGUUUAUUAAAACCAAAGAAACUGCUAGCUCAGAGUCAAAGAGAAGAGGACCAUCUCCGGGCAGAACGGUCAGGUAUUCGGGCAUGCUUGUCUCCUGAAUAUUGCAACUAAUGACGUCAUUAACUUCACUAAAAACAACUCCUUCCGGUUAAUGACAACGCCACGAUCUUGCAAAGGUCAGUUGGGCCCGGCCCACGAAGGCUUUUAUUUAUUUAUUUAUUUAUUUUUCUGGUUUGCUCAACUCCUUCACUACCAACCUUCUCCUUCAUAUAUCUCACCGUUUCUCAAGUCUCUCUCUAUCUCUCUGUUUCUACUUCUCUCUCUGAAAUCAAACAGAGAGAAGAUCUCUCAUGGAUGAAAAAGUGAGACAUGAGUUUCUUCGAGGCAAUAUCAAAAACAUAACCAUCAUGAUGUAUAGAGACUGUCGGGUCCAUUGUGAGGAGACAUUCAGUUUCUCUUUAAAACUCCUUCAUUGAAAUAGUCCGGUGUUAUCCCUACCUGAGCUUAGUUUUUUUUUUUUUAAAUUUUUUUUUCUGUUCUAUUGAAUUAUUCUAUUUUCUUGACCUUGUAAGACAUUUUCUUGACCUUGUAAGACCCCAUCCCUUUCUAAGUAUCUCAACCUUCUAUCCUUUUAAAGACUCUCUACUAUCUCUUUUUGGUGUUGAGUAUGUGUGUAUCUCUACUCCUAGUUCAUUUGAAUCAGUUUUUCUAUCUUGUCUAUCCCUCCUGAGCUAAUGUUUGCAUCUUCUUGUUGGUCAUUGAUGUAUGGUUGAUAUAAAUUCCAAAUAAAGAGCUUAACCUUAUCUUAUUUAACUUUUGUUGGUGUUAGUUACAUUGUUGUACAGGAGGUGAAAAAUGUCUCGCUAUCAUGGGAACUGGUAAAAGGCAAUGAAUAAGGAAACUGGCAAAAAGAAUUAUGCCUUUACUCUCUAUUUUUAAGGCUUUGGACAGGAAUUUACUUUUGUUUUAUAUGUUGUGUUUGUUUGGGUCUGACUGACCCCCCAAAGGCCAAAGCCAAACCAAAGAACUCAUCUUAUUAAAUAUUCCCUCAGAAUCAUUUAUUGCCUGUUUCUCUCACUCGUGACUA